Molecule: ribosomal RNA, 429 nt
Filed under: Bacillota bacterium
Lineage: Bacteria; Bacillati; Bacillota
Description: Firmicutes bacterium partial 16S ribosomal RNA
Rfam family: Bacterial small subunit ribosomal RNA
Source: RNAcentral
UAGGGAAUCUUCGGCAAUGGACGGAAGUCUGACCGAGCAACGCCGCGUGAGUGAAGAAGGUUUUCGGAUCGUAAAGCUCUGUUGUUAGAGAAGAACGUUGGUAGGAGUGGAAAAUCUACCAAGUGACGGUAACUAACCAGAAAGGGACGGCUAACUACGUGCCAGCAGCCGCGGUAAUACGUAGGUCCCGAGCGUUGUCUGGAUUUAUUGGGCGUAAAGCGAGCGCAGGCGGUUCUUUAAGUCUGAAGUUAAAGGCAGUGGCUUAACCAUUGUACGCUUUGGAAACUGGAGGACUUGAGUGCAGAAGGGGAGAGUGGAAUUCCAUGUGUAGCGGUGAAAUGCGUAGAUAUAUGGAGGAACACCGGUGGCGAAAGCGGCUCUCUGGUCGGUAACUGACGCUGAGGCUCGAAAGCGUGGGGAGCAAACAGG